RNAcentral lists this ribosomal RNA (498 nucleotides) under uncultured bacterium. RNAcentral's name for it is "partial 16S ribosomal RNA". It matches the Rfam family "Bacterial small subunit ribosomal RNA", at positions 28 to 507 of the family's 1533-position model. The record is from RNAcentral.
GACGAACGCUGGCGGCGUGCCUAAUACAUGCAAGUCGAACGAGAGCGACCGGUGCUUGCACUGGUCAAUCUAGUGGCGAACGGGUGAGUAACACGUGGGUAACCUGCCCAUCAGAGGGGGAUAACAUCCGGAAACGGAUGCUAAAACCGCAUAGGUCUUCGAGCCGCAUGGCUUGAAGAGGAAAAGAGGCGCAAGCUUCUGCUGAUGGAUGGACCCGCGGUGCAUUAGCUAGUUGGUGAGGUAACGGCUCACCAAGGCCGUGAUGCAUAGCCGACCUGAGAGGGUGAUCGGCCACAUUGGGACUGAGACACGGCCCAAACUCCUACGGGAGGCAGCAGUAGGGAAUCUUCCGCAAUGGACGCAGGUCUGACGGAGCAACGCCGCGUGAGUGAAGAAGGUUUUCGGAUCGUAAAACUCUGUUGUUAGAGAAGAACAAGUGCUAGAGUAACUGUUAGCGCCUUGACGGUAUCUAACCAGAAAGCCACGGCUAACUACGUG